UGUUCUGCUAAAACCGCAGAGCUGAGAUUAGGCAGAAGAAAAAGUUGCUUGCUUGUUGGCCGGACUCCUGCAAGAGUUUCCCAUGGAUUGUGAUUCCUGUCUGAACCUUGAUGCAUGGGAUGAGUCUUGCUCCAGUUCCAAGACUAAAUUGACCGCCACUGAAUUUCAACUUGAGCACGGAGACACCGUUCAAGUGAAAGGGACGAUCUUGCCCAAUGCCAAAGAGU
Lacerta agilis (Sand lizard) is the source of this 227-nucleotide long non-coding RNA. RefSeq lists it as uncharacterized. The record is from RefSeq and is a predicted model, not a curated record. The transcript has 3 exons. NCBI's taxonomy places the organism in Eukaryota, Metazoa, Chordata, Lepidosauria, Squamata, Lacertidae.